AUUGAACGCUUGCGGCAGGCUUAACACAUGCAAGUCGAACGAUGAUUAUCUAGCUUGCUAGAUAUGAUUAGUGGCGGACGGGUGAGUAACAUUUAGGAAUCUGCCUAGUAGUGGGGGAUAGCUCGGGGAAACUCGAAUUAAUACCGCAUACGACCUACGGGUGAAAGGGGGCGCAAGCUCUUGCUAUUAGAUGAGCCUAAAUCAGAUUAGCUAGUUGGUGGGGUAAAGGCCCACCAAGGCGACGAUCUGUAACUGGUCUGAGAGGAUGAUCAGUCACACCGGAACUGAGACACGGUCCGGACUCCUACGGGAGGCAGCAGUGGGGAAUAUUGGACAAUGGGGGCAACCCUGAUCCAGCCAUGCCGCGUGUGUGAAGAAGGCCUUUUGGUUGUAAAGCACUUUAAGCAGGGAGGAGAGGCUAAUGGUUAAUACCCAUUAGAUUAGACGUUACCUGCAGAAUAAGCACCGGCUAACUCUGUGCCAGCAGCCGCGGUAAUACAGAGGGUGCGAGCGUUAAUCGGAAUUACUGGGCGUAAAGCGAGUGUAGGUGGCUCAUUAAGUCACAUGUGAAAUCCCCGGGCUUAACCUGGGAACUGCAUGUGAUACUGGUGGUGCUAGAAUAUGUGAGAGGGAAGUAGAAUUCCAGGUGUAGCGGUGAAAUGCGUAGAGAUCUGGAGGAAUACCGAUGGCGAAGGCAGCUUCCUGGCAUAAUAUUGACACUGAGAUUCGAAAGCGUGGGUAGCAAACAGGAUUAGAUACCCUGGUAGUCCACGCCGUAAACGAUGUCUACUAGCCGUUGGGGUCCUUGAGACUUUAGUGGCGCAGUCAACGCGAUAAGUAGACCGCCUGGGGAGUACGGCCGCAAGGUUAAAACUCAAAUGAAUUGACGGGGGCCCGCACAAGCGGUGGAGCAUGUGGUUUAAUUCGAUGCAACGCGAAGAACCUUACCUGGUCUUGACAUAGUGAGAAUCCUGCAGAGAUGCGGGAGUACCUUCGGGAAUUCACAUACAGGUGCUGCAUGGCUGUCGUCAGCUCGUGUCGUGAGAUGUUGGGUUAAGUCCCGCAACGAGCGCAACCCUUUUCCUUAUUUGCCAGCGGGUUAAGCCGGGAACUUCAAGGAUACUGCCAGUGACAAACUGGAGGAAGGCGGGGACGACGUCAAGUCAUCAUGGCCCUUACGACCAGGGCUACACACGUGCUACAAUGGUAGGUACAGAGGGUUGCUACACAGCGAUGUGAUGCUAAUCUCAAAAAGCCUAUCGUAGUCCCGAUUGGAGUCUGCAACUCGACUCCAUGAAGUCGGAAUCGCUAGUAAUCGCAGAUCAGAAUGCUGCGGUGAAUACGUUCCCGGGCCU
This 1355-nucleotide ribosomal RNA is filed under the name uncultured bacterium. Its description in RNAcentral is "bacterial SSU rRNA". It matches the Rfam family "Bacterial small subunit ribosomal RNA", at positions 28 to 1381 of the family's 1533-position model. The record is from RNAcentral.